This 402-nucleotide ribosomal RNA is filed under the name uncultured bacterium. Its description in RNAcentral is "bacterial SSU rRNA". It matches the Rfam family "Bacterial small subunit ribosomal RNA", at positions 356 to 773 of the family's 1533-position model. The record is from RNAcentral.
GGGGAAUAUUGCGCAAUGGGCGAAAGCCUGACGCAGCCACGCCGCGUGUGUGAUGAAGGCCCUCGGGUCGUAAAGCACUGUCGGGAGGAAAGAAGUUCUGACGGUACCUCCCAAGAAAGCACCGGCUAACUCCGUGCCAGCAGCCGCGGUAAUACGGAGGGUGCAAGCGUUGCUCGGAAUCACUGGGCGUAAAGCGUACGCAGGCGGCGCGUUAAGUCGGGUGUGAAAGCCCGGGGCUCAACCCCGGAAUUGCAUUCGAUACUGGCGUGCUGGAGUGCGGGAGAGGGAAGCGGAAUUUCUGGUGUAGAGGUGAAAUUCGUAGAUAUCAGGAGGAACAUCAGUGGCGAAAGCGGCUUCCUGGCCCGAUACUGACGCUCAUGUACGAAAGCGUGGGGAGCAAAC